This 655-nucleotide ribosomal RNA is filed under the name uncultured forest soil bacterium. RNAcentral describes it as "bacterial SSU rRNA". It matches the Rfam family "Bacterial small subunit ribosomal RNA", at positions 64 to 767 of the family's 1533-position model. The record is from RNAcentral.
GAGCGCCCCGCAAGGGGAGCGGCAGACGGGAGAGUAACACGUGGGAACGUGCCCUUCAGUUCGGAACAACCCAGGGAAACUUGGGCUAAUACCGGAUACGUCCGUAAGGAGAAAGAUUUAUCGCUGAAGGAUCGGCCCGCGUCUGAUUAGCUUGUUGGUGAGGUAACGGCUCACCAAGGCUACGAUCAGUAGCUGGUCUGAGAGGAUGAUCAGCCUCACUGGGACUGAGACACGGCCCAGACUCCUACGGGAGGCAGCAGUGGGGAAUACUGGACAAUGGGCGCAAGCCUGAUCCAGCCAUGCCGCGUGGAUGAUGAAGGCCCUAGGGUUGUAAAGUCCUUUCGGCGGGGAAGAUAAUGACGGUACCCGCAGAAGAAGCCCCGGCUAACUUCGUGCCAGCAGCCGCGGUAAUACGAAGGGGGCUAGCGUUGCUCGGAAUCACUGGGCGUAAAGCGCACGUAGGCGGCUUUUUAAGUCAGAGGUGUAAUCCUGGAGCUCAACUCCAGAACUGCCUUUGAUACUGGAGAGCUUGAGUCCGGGAGAGGUGAGUGGAACUGCGAGUGUAGAGGUGAAAUUCGUAGAUAUUCGCAAGAACACCAGUGGCGAAGGCGGCUCACUGGCCCGGUACUGACGCUGAGGUGCGAAAGCGUGGGGA